UUACAUUUUGACUAAUUUAACUGAAAAGUCUAGCCAGUAGCUUGAACGAGAGAUUGUUUGUGCCACAGCCACAAGGACAGUAAGAUGAGUCCAGAUGAAACAAUACUCUCACUCUGCUGUGCUACACCCCAUUCUGGGUGUGUAGAGCGAGAACAAGCCACCUUGAGCCAAACUGAUAGAGUUUCCUCAUGCUGCACCUUGGCUCAGAGCCACUCUGUCAUGCUUCGUCUGAGUGUUUCUGUUUUUACAAUAACUUCUACAUUUUCUUGUCUGGACACGCUGAAGGCAGCAGCUUUGCUCUGAUUAAGCCUUAAACACAGACACCAUCUGAUAAUGGCCGUGGGUGUGGAUUCAGAACCAGAUUACAAACAGGAAUGAUUCCCAGCUCCUAAAGUUCUCUUUUGUAUUCUUCACUUUCAUCAAACCGACUGGACCACCGAGCUGAGUCCUAAAAUAACCUGGGUGGCUCAGAGGAUUGUCUUAAGGCCAUUAAAUUACUACUGAGCCAGCAGGGGUCACUGGAGGCUUUGAGCAGGUGGAACAGGAACACUUUUGGAUGUGACUCUGCCUGAAGCAGAGACGCAGCUUCUGCCCAGCUGAAGUGGAGCGGGGAUGAAAGCUGAGUCACAUUCUCAUUAACUCGCAUGGCUGCACUCUGCUCCACAAAAAUAAAACAGUCCUAUGGAUGUACGACACGCACAUCCGCAGAUGAAACAGCCACACACAUAGGCCUCCGCUUGCUCGAAGACACGUCAAAAAACAUUUCUCACAUUAGAGCCUGAUGGCCGUGCAAAUCUAAAAAGAGUCCUUAUAUGAAGGAAACUAAAAAGCAGCUCUGUCAUUCCUUCACAUGGACAUCAAACCUCCUAGACGGCCUUGCUGUCACCAGAGACACUCACAGCAGCCCUGAGCACUGACAGCAGAUAACUGCGACCCCUGCUAUAAAAAGAUCAGCUGACACAGUCUGAAAGUGCCUAUAGAUAAACAUAUGGACACCGAAUCACUCAGCGAGGAUGAUUGUUUUUGAGCUAAUACACAGAAAUACUACUCUGAUCCAGGGAAUGCUCUGAAGAAACACCCACUGCUGUGGCAUCCUGCGGGCAUCUCCAACAUGCCUUCAAACACCAGUGACAAGCCAAGGAAGCAGGCAGUGACAAUUCAUCCAAUACAAGUGUCAAAAAGCUGAAUAAACCACAUGGACUCUCUGUAAUAAUAGAGAUCAAUCUGUGCUGCCAUCUAGAGGCCAAUUUUAGCACAGUUAAAAUUGGCCACAUUUAAAAACGAUUUAAUUCUAGUCUCUUUCAAGAUAUUUUUGAUCAUGUGAGUUGAGAACAUUUCUUUAAAUUUAAUUCUGUUUAUUUAUAAAGUUCCUCUUUAUAGGAAGAAAAAAAUAAUCCAAGGCACUUUACAUCUCUAAGUAUCCAGUUCAUGUCCUAAUACAUAGAAAUAUGAAAUUAAUUUAAUCCAAUCGUACACACACAUUCAAAUACAGCGGCGUACAUUUCAUUUCAAAGCUAGUUAUAAUACAAUAACGUCAAAGACUUUGGAGCCACUCCUCCGCAUUGAGUAAGCAAAUCGCAACAGUGGAAAGAAACAACCUGCUUCACAGGAAAUGAUGUCCCACGACCAACUGGACAUUAAGAAUAGCCGAAGCAGAACCCGCAGAAAACAAAGAAACAAACAAAAAAAAA
This is a long non-coding RNA of Poecilia latipinna (sailfin molly), 1691 nucleotides long. RefSeq lists it as uncharacterized. The record is from RefSeq and is a predicted model, not a curated record. Lineage: Eukaryota; Metazoa; Chordata; Actinopteri; Cyprinodontiformes; Poeciliidae. The transcript has 2 exons.